AGAGCAGUUGGCAUGCUGUGGGAAUCAAACAGAAACUGCAAUCAAGAACUUAGUCCAAACCCGGUAAAUGAAAUGUUCCACUAGUUCAGCAGCCGAGAAAUUUAAUGCUUCAGUUCUUUGUGAUGUUCGUUGCUUUGUUGUAACUGAUGUGUAGUUUGAAUGGCAGGUGACAUUUCAUAAGAUUUAAAUAAGCACCACAUUGAGUCUUCAAGUGGUAAAUCUUCAGAGCACAAAAACUAACAUUUGAAAAUGACAUAAGGACUUCCAGCUGCCAACAACUAAGCUUUUGGAAGAGAAACAAGGACCACAAUAUUCAAAA
Ochotona princeps (American pika) is the source of this 319-nucleotide long non-coding RNA. RefSeq lists it as uncharacterized. The transcript has 3 exons. Lineage: Eukaryota; Metazoa; Chordata; Mammalia; Lagomorpha; Ochotonidae. The record is from RefSeq and is a predicted model, not a curated record.